Oryctolagus cuniculus (rabbit) is the source of this 311-nucleotide non-coding RNA. Lineage: Eukaryota; Metazoa; Chordata; Mammalia; Lagomorpha; Leporidae. The record is from RefSeq and is a predicted model, not a curated record.
UUCUUAACAGUGUUUUUGGGUUAUUCUCGAUCAAUAUUCCUCCUAUGACUUGCUAAAGGCACCACCAAGAGGAAAGAAGCACAUGGAAGACUUGCCAGCAAAUAGAUCCUGUUGAGGACAAAUUGAGUGUUACAUGGACACUUAAGAACGUCAAGGCAAAUAGAGGAAGAAAUCAAGAAGUACCAGGGAGCGAAUGCUGAUGUCGCAAUAGGCCUCUUAAAACUCUCAUUGCCUUCUCUCAACCUCACCCAGGCCCCAUCAUGAAGUUGUGAGAUCUACCGAUACUGCACCUAUUACAAACUAAAACAACA